This is a long non-coding RNA of Nerophis ophidion (straightnose pipefish), 679 nucleotides long. RefSeq lists it as uncharacterized. The record is from RefSeq and is a predicted model, not a curated record. NCBI's taxonomy places the organism in Eukaryota, Metazoa, Chordata, Actinopteri, Syngnathiformes, Syngnathidae. The transcript has 2 exons.
GGCGGGGCUUUGCUCUAAGGCGGGAAGGGAUUUACCAUGACGUCGUCGUGUCUAUUUAAGAUGGCGGCCUAAGGAAUAGCGCAUCACAUUCACACUCCUGUGACUUCAUUUGCCGACGCUUUUUCUUCAAAAAAAAAAAUCGAUCCUUUAAAUCCACUUUUCGUGUUUUGAGGCAGAGACACGUUGACAAUAUGACAAAACAAGCUUUGCCAUCCAAUCCUGCUCCUCCAACCCCAACCUACUCCCUCAUCGGUCUGGAGCUGCGUCACCUCGGAGACCAGCUCUACUGGACAUACUGCCUGCUGAGGAUUCUGAUGGGGGAAUCCAACGACACAUGACAGGAAAGUGCGUUUGUUGGCUGUACAUAAAAUAAAGCUACAAAAGAGCAAGAAAAAUAAAACAGAGGCAGUUUUGAAAGAGGAUGAACACCCUGAUGGAAAGGCUGGACGAAGUCACCUGGGCGAGUGUGCUGGAUGAGCUAAGAAGACCUUGGGUUGGAGCCUUCACCUCAAAUGUAGCGACUGUCUUAUCGAGGGGACCGCAGUGAAGACAAAUCAUUUUUUUCUGAAUGCAAAUAAGUCUGGUUGUAUCUGUGAACUAUGAUUACGGUGGGCACGGAGGAUAAACAGGCACCACAUAAGGUGCAUAUACCUAAUAAAAGGUGCCUUUUAAAACACAA